GCUUUUAUCAUGCUUCAUGCAUCAUGAUCAUAUUAUAGGUUGUUUGCAUUAGCAUUCACGAUUAUGCCGCAUUGUAUUGUUGUGAUAGAUGAUAGUGGAUGGACAUUAGGAUGAUUCAUUAGCCUUCUAAAUACGAAGUCCUGUGGUGCCCAUAAUAGGGCCGGGCAAUACGAAGACCUGUGGUGCCCAUAAUAGGGCCGGGCAAUAACUCCGAGUACGAAGUCCUGUGGUGCCCAUAAUAGGGCCGGGCAAUACGAAGUCCUGUGGUGCCCAUAAUAGGGCCGGGCAUGGAGUUGAGGGAUUUUUGAAUCAGUCCAUCCGUGGUGUGAUUUGUUUGUGCAGUGACGCAUUUCAUGAUAGCAUGUUUUAAAUAUUCUUUUUUUUCAGUUCUACUCACUGGGCAUCUAGCUCACCCCUCUCCCCUAACCCCAGGUUUGCAGGUACGGGAUAGAUAGAGAAG
Molecule: long non-coding RNA, 460 nt
Filed under: Manihot esculenta (cassava)
Lineage: Eukaryota; Viridiplantae; Streptophyta; Magnoliopsida; Malpighiales; Euphorbiaceae
Description: long non-coding RNA (MESC_LNC008844)
Source: RNAcentral